CUUGGCUUCUGGGUUAAGACUUCUGCUGAUAGCACACAAUCAGUACAAUGAGCUCUGAGUAAAGAAAUAAAUCUCAAAGUGAAACAAAAGGGAUUCCUCUUUGGAUCUAAGUGUUGCCACUCUGCUGCCUCUGACAGGCGAUAGGGGAACUGUCUGCAUACCAAAAGUAGUAAUGGUUGAGAAUCGAAUAAAGGAACUAUUUAUAGAGGUAUAAGGAUGGCUAAGAGCAACAGAAGAGAAUGAUGAAGAUUCCAAGGAAUAGAAACGGGGGAAGUCAACAAUAGCUUUAAGUCUGAAGGGGUGAGAAGGAGAUGCUGUUACAUGAAAUUAGAGCU
This 335-nucleotide long non-coding RNA is filed under the name Gorilla gorilla gorilla (western lowland gorilla). Its description in RNAcentral is "lncRNA (ENSGGOG00000044454.1)". The record is from RNAcentral. Lineage: Eukaryota; Metazoa; Chordata; Mammalia; Primates; Hominidae.